UCCGUGUUGACCACGGCAGUAUCCCAUGAGUUCCCACCAUAACGUGCUGGCAACAUAGGACGAGGGUUGCGCUCGUUGCCGGACUUAACCGAACAUCUCACGACACGAGCUGACGACAACCAUGCACCACCUGUAUACGAGUGUCCAAAGAGUUCUGUAUCUCUACAGCGUUCUCGUACAUGUCAAGCCUUGGUAAGGUUCUUCGCGUUGCAUCGAAUUAAUCCGCAUGCUCCGCCGCUUGUGCGGGCCCCCGUCAAUUCCUUUGAGUUUUAGCCUUGCGGCCGUACUCCCCAGGCGGGGAACUUAAUGCGUUAGCUACGACACAGAACCCGUGGAACAGGCCCUACAUCUAGUUCCCAACGUUUACGGCAUGGACUAC
This 379-nucleotide unclassified non-coding RNA is filed under the name uncultured Microbacteriaceae bacterium. RNAcentral describes it as "contains 16S-23S intergenic spacer region". The record is from RNAcentral. Lineage: Bacteria; Bacillati; Actinomycetota; Actinomycetes; Micrococcales; Microbacteriaceae.